AAAGGAAUCAUGAAUAACAUACUUAAAAAAUAUAUUUUAAAUAUUUUAAUCAAUACACAUUGAUAAAAGUAAUAACCACUACCAAUAACACAUUAUAAUUUAAAUUGAGUCUGCUGUAUCACCAUGUUCUCAUGGCUGAGACCCCUUUUUCCCAAUUUAUCCCGUUUAGUGUAAUAAGGAAUGAAAUUGGGGAAUUUAACAUCUAAGUAUCCCUUAUCUGUUUGUAUUUGUAAAUUAUGUGCAGUAGAUAUUGCUUUAAUCAUCAUAAUAAAAGACAUCAUAGUUUUUCCCAUCAGAUUGUCUGUGUUUACAUUAUUCGCACCUUAUUGUUAACCGCCUUGUUUUUGUUGAAAAUUCCUUCUACAAGCCUUAUUUAAUGACACAGCAAAAUGUCGGCCUUUUGCGUCGUGUGAAAUGGAAUAUUAAGUAUUAUUCAAAUAAACAUUAACGUCACUCUGGCAUUUGCCAAAUGUUGUUCUUACUGUUAUAAAGUGAGUAUAGUUAUCCAUGGGUUAAGGUUGAAAAUUAAGAAAGAUCACUAUGGAAAUUCAUUAAUUCCCAAUAUGCAUAUUUGUAUGUGAAGUAGGUUAAAAGCAUGACUUGGGUUGUUAAUAGGGCACUAUUAUAGCUAGCUUUCUAACUAUAAUUAAUCACGCUUACAUUUAAUAUGUCAUAAAACUCAAAAUUACUUAAAUCUUGCAGUCAGGAAGGUAAUGAAUUUGCUAUUUACAGUCAACAAAAAUAUGAAGGCAAAAUAUAAAGAAAAGGUUGGGGGUCGAUGAACAAAAAGAUGGUCGAUAAAGAAAAGGAUUGCUAGAAAUAUUAAAAAAAACAUACUACUAAAAUGUAAAUGGUGUCACACAUACUUUAAUUCAUUAAUGUUAGUUAUUGUACAAUUAGAGAUAAUUAGUUCUACGUUUUCAUCCUUAAGGAGAGAGAUUGUCAUCGCAUAAACUCGAGCUGUUCAGUAUAAUAUUUUAAAACAUCCUAAAUCAAUGCAUAGAAGUCUCGCCUCGGGGCAAACUAACGAAUCGCAGUGAGGUGCUUCGGUGGGGUGGACUUGCACUUCCCUUAAUUCCUACAUAUCGUCCUCGCACUUGCGUAUCCCUGCUUAUGUCUCAUUCUCUAUGCUCGCCUCGCUCACCCCUCCUUUCAGCGCAUAAUUGAUGCCGUUCUUAGUAUUAUAUACGUAGCGGUGACCAGCAUUUGGCGACCUAGCUGUAUCAGCUGUAUGGUGUGGGCUGUGCCGACCUCUUUUUCAAGUCGAUAAAGUAUGCUUCCAGCGUUAUGGAAGCUUAAACAAUACAAUAUCAUUCUACCUUGUAAUUAAACUGGCUAGUCUAAUAUAUAUCACUUCAUGAUUCCUUCAAAUGCUUUUUAGUUUUAUUUUAGACCGAUGAAAGAAUGCGUUCCUGGUCGAUCGUAAGCGGUACGACUUCAUUUGCUAAUUACGAUAGUACGAACAGUAUUAUUUGAGUAUAUGGUCCUGUAAGUCUAUAAUAUAUGGUUUUUGGCAUUGCCCUAGAAUACGUAUUAAAUGUUUUAGAAGGCCAGUCCUGUUUAAAUUUCAAUUGGUUUGUGAAAAUAAUAGUUGCUAUGAAUUUCUUUGCAACGUUAUAAAGUUUAAGUGUUAUUCAACUUUUAAGUAUGGGAGAUACAAUUGGAUGCUCUAUUUUAAAAUAGUGACAAAUGAACAAUAUUGGCCAUCGCGUGAAUAUAAGUCAGCACUCAUUAAACAUCAGGAACGCAUUCUUUUAGUGGGAAAAUAUUGAACUGCCUGCUUUGUAAUUAGAACACAUUUUCACUAAAUAUUGUAAUUCUAUUAAUUUAUUUCAAACUCCGAGAUAAAUAUGCGGCCAAAUUAUAUGUAAUGUUAACUAGACAGUUGUCAAUAACCUAUUCGUCCCGCCAGUUUUAAAUUCCAGCCUUAGUUAUAUCAGGUAUGUAAAAUUCGAGAGCUUAACUGCCUACAUACAGGUUCAAUAAGGUCAGGUUAUAUAAUGGUUGUUUUAUUUGAUAAAUAGUGUACUAUGUAUGUUAUAUACAAUGUUUAACAAUUUAAAAUUAUGUAGCACAAAUGUGUCUUAAAUCUAUAUGGGUCAGAUAGAUCAACCACGGCCUUAAAGAUUGUCAUUUUAUGUGACGCAUUGAUGACACCUAAAUUUUACUGUUUCAUUAUUUACACAAUUUGCCCCAAGGGAUGGCAGUCAGGGAAUCGUGAGAAGUUCAUCGAAUGUAAAUGGCAGUCGUCAUCUCCGCACUGAGGCUUUGAUGAACGUCAGCAACAGAACGGCUCUCCGAGAUACCUUCUACAAUAUAAACAGUAUAAUAAUUAUAAUAUAAGUUGGCGGUAAACCGAAGCAACAAUUUAUAGACUAUUAUUCUUUAGGCAAACUUCGUAACAUUUCUUUAUUAAAUGGCAAUCACUGCAACUGACUGUAAUUAAAUAAGUGUAUUUUAUGUCAGCAUUCGAAGUGACACGCUCUAAAUUAAAUGUAAGUUGUAUGUUAUUGAUCACCGAACUAAGUGAGCGAUACAAAGGGUGUUAAAAAAGACCACCAGUUAUAAGAUAUUUUCUAUAUAGAAAAAUUCUAUAUUUAUUAAGUGGCAGAACUAUCGGGAGGAUUGUCAUAACAAAGCAACAGCAACAAACAGGCUUUAAAUCUAAUAAUGAUAUAUUAUGUCUGUUUGUUAAAGGUAUCUCGGAGGUGGUUGGCCUCGGUACCAUAAUUAUUAAACAAAAUAAUUGCUUUAAUAUGUAAACUAUAUCCUUGGCUUCGGUAACAUCAAUACACGAUUUUAGCCAACUGAAUGGUUCGUCAACGAUUUGGUACACGU
Long non-coding RNA from Trichoplusia ni (cabbage looper), 2838 nucleotides. RefSeq lists it as uncharacterized. The transcript has 2 exons. The record is from RefSeq and is a predicted model, not a curated record. NCBI's taxonomy places the organism in Eukaryota, Metazoa, Arthropoda, Insecta, Lepidoptera, Noctuidae.